UCCCUGAUAACUUAGAUGGUAAAGAAUCUGCGUGCAAUGCAGGAGACCCAGGUUCAAUUCCUGGGUUGGGAA
Molecule: transfer RNA, 72 nt
Organism: Ovis aries (sheep)
Lineage: Eukaryota; Metazoa; Chordata; Mammalia; Artiodactyla; Bovidae
Rfam family: tRNA
About the family: Transfer RNA (tRNA) molecules are approximately 80 nucleotides in length. Their secondary structure includes four short double-helical elements and three loops (D, anti-codon, and T loops).
Source: Rfam